AACAGGAUUAGAUACCCUGGUAGUCCACGCCGUAAACGGUGGGUACUAGGUGUGGGUUUCCUUCCUUGGGAUCCGUGCCGUAGCUAACGCAUUAAGUACCCCGCCUGGGGAGUACGGCCGCAAGGCUAAAACUCAAAGAAAUUGACGGGGGCCCGCACAAGCGGCGGAGCAUGUGGAUUAAUUCGAUGCAACGCGAAGAACCUUACCUGGGUUUGACAUGCACAGGACGACGGCAGAGAUGUCGUUUCCCUUGUGGUCUGUGUGCAGGUGGUGCAUGGCUGUCGUCAGCUCGUGUCGUGAGAUGUUGGGUUAAGUCCCGCAACGAGCGCAACCCUUGUCUCAUGUUGCCAGCGCGUUAUGGCGGGGACUCGUGAGAGACUGCCGGGGUCAACUCGGAGGAAGGUGGGGAUGACGUCAGGUCAUCAUGCCCCUUAUGUCCAGGGCUUCACACAUGCUACAAUGGUCGGUACAAAGGGCUGCGAUGCCGUGAGGCUUAGCGAAUCCUUUAAAGCCGGUCUCAGUUCGGAUCGGGGUCUACAACUCGACCCCGUGAAGUCGGAGUCGCUAGUAAUCGCAGAUCAGCAACGCUGCGGUGAAUACGUUCCCGGGCCUUGUACACACCGCCCGUCACGUCAUGAAAGUCGGUAACACCCGAAGCCAGUGGCCUAACCCUUGUGGGGGGAGCUGUCGAAGGUGGGAUCGGCGAUUGGGACGAAGUCGUAACAAGGUAACC
RNAcentral lists this ribosomal RNA (733 nucleotides) under uncultured bacterium. RNAcentral describes it as "bacterial SSU rRNA". It matches the Rfam family "Bacterial small subunit ribosomal RNA", at positions 771 to 1501 of the family's 1533-position model. The record is from RNAcentral.